RNAcentral lists this ribosomal RNA (1516 nucleotides) under uncultured prokaryote. RNAcentral describes it as "partial 16S ribosomal RNA". It matches the Rfam family "Bacterial small subunit ribosomal RNA". The record is from RNAcentral.
AGAGUUUGAUCCUGGCUCAGAACGAACGCUGGCGGCGUGGAUUAGGCAUGCAAGUCGAGCGAGAAAGCGGACUUCGGUCCGUGAGUACAGCGGCGAACUGGUGAGUAACAGGUGGGUAACGUUCCCUACAAGUUCGGGAUAACUUCCAGAAAUGGGGGCUAAUACCGGAUGUGACCUGGCCUCAUAAGGGGCUUCGGUUAAAGGCACGUCGCUUUCGGGCGGCGUCUGUCGCUUGAGGAUCGGCCCGCCCCCGAUUAGCUUGUUGGCGGGGUAAUGGCCCACCAAGGCUACAAUCGGUAGCUGGCCUGAGAGGGUGGUCAGUCACACUGGGACUGAGAUACGGCCCAGACUCCUACGGGAGGCAGCAGUCUAGGAGCAUCCGCAAUGGACGAAAGUCUGACGGUGCGACGCCGCGUGUGGGAUGAAGGUCUUGCGAUUGUAAACCACUGUCAGCAGGGAAGAAGGCCCGUAUGGUGAAUACGGGUUUGACGGUACCUGCGGAGGAAGCCCCGGCUAACUACGUGCCAGCAGCCGCGGUAAUACGUAGGGGGCAAGCGUUGUUCGGAUUUACUGGGCGUAAAGAGUGCGUAGGCGGUUUAGCAAGUCUGGCGUGAAAUCUGCACCGCUCAACGGGCAGCGUGCGCUGGAAACUGCUAGGCUCGAGGACGGAAGAGGAGAGUGGAAUUCCAGGUGUAGCGGUGGAAUGCUCAGAUAUCUGGAAGAACACCGGUGGCGAAGGCGGCUCUCUGGUCCGUAUCUGACGCUGAGGCACGAAAGCCAGGGGAGCGAACGGGAUUAGAUACCCCGGUAGUCCUGGCCGUAAACGGUGAGCACUAGGUGUGGGGGGUAUCGACCCCCUCCGUGCCGUAGCUAACGCAUUAAGUGCUCCGCCUGGGGAGUACGACCGCAAGGUUGAAACUCAAAGGAAUUGACGGGGGCCCGCACAAGCGGUGGAGCAUGUGGCUUAAUUCGACGAUACGCGAGGAACCUUACCCGGGCUUAAACUGUGGAGUAAACCCCUGGAAACAGGGGCUGCUUCGGCAAUUCCAUAGAGGUGCUGCAUGGCUGUCGUCAGCUCGUGUCGUGAGAUGUUGGGUUAAGUCCCGCAACGAGCGCAACCCUUGUCGUUAGUUGCCAGCAGGUCAAGCUGGGGACUCUAACGAGACUGCCGCGUUAAGCAGGAGGAAGGUGGGGAUGACGUCAAGUCCGCAUGGCCCUUACGUCCGGGGCCGCACACGUGCUACAAUGGUCGGUACAACGGGUUGCGAAGCCGCGAGGUCUAGCUAAUCCCUAAAAGCCGGCCCCAGUUCGGAUUGGAGUCUGCAAUUCGACUCCAUGAAGCCGGAAUCGCUAGUAAUCGCGGAUCAGCAUGGCGCGGUGAAUACGUUCUCGGGCUUUGUACACACCGCCCGUCACACCACGAAAGCUGGCUGAUCCAGAAGUCCGUGAGCUAACCCUUCGGGGAGGCAGCGGCCGAAGGAUUGGUUGGUGAUUGGGGUGAAGUCGUAACAAGGUA